Gavialis gangeticus (Gharial) is the source of this 888-nucleotide long non-coding RNA. RefSeq lists it as uncharacterized. The record is from RefSeq and is a predicted model, not a curated record. The transcript has 3 exons. NCBI's taxonomy places the organism in Eukaryota, Metazoa, Chordata, Crocodylia, Gavialidae.
AACCUCUGAGGAUGGAGACUUCACCACCUCUCUGGGAAUAAAAACUGCCUAAGAAGCACUGAGAGGUGUCUUUCAUCCCCAGCUCUCUCAAACCCCUGCAAAUCCCUCAAGCCAAAACUGCUGCCUGUUAAUGCUGAUGCUACAUCUGGACUUGCGAAGCAGUGGAGAGUACCGGGCUCUGUACAAUACACUUCUGUGCUUGUUAAAGUUUUCAUGGAAAAGCUUUGGGCACGGCGUGAUCCCAUCUCACAAGAAUGAAAGAUGAGAAACUAUCAUGAGUCAUAUCAAUCGUGCAGAGACCCAGCUCUGGCAUGGGAAAGCCGAGCCUGACGACUGCAGUGGCUGGGCCGUGUCAAAAGGAUGGGAGCGAUCCAGACACCAAGGGCAGCUGUUCCCGGGGUGCCGGAGGGACGACCAAGGCGAAGAUGGGAGAGGAUGUGGUAUCAGAGCCGCAGAAAUUAAAUGUGAACAAUGGGAGGAUGAAGAUAGUGAGAGCUGCUAAGAGCUUCUAGUGCUACAUUAGUAGUAGUAGUAGUGGUAAUUGUUAGUGGUAUUAAAAUACUAGCUAAGUGUUAAAAUAUUAAACAUUAAACUACUAAUAUUAAGCACUAAAGUAUUAAAGUACUAGUAUUUAAAUACUAGCUAAGCAGGUAUUUAUGCAUUUUCCUGGAUUAAGGCUUUUUAAGCACACAGCUACGUUUAGACUCUGAAGUAGACACAUAGGUAAGUACUUUGCAGAAUCGGCUCCUUAUGGCCCCAGAUUAAGAUUUAAUUGCUGGCACUUCCUUUAUUGGGGUACAUUAUCUUGUGCUACUAUAUUAAGGUGUAAUUACAUCAUCAUCAUCAUUACUAUUAUUAUUAUUAUUAUAUACUUAACAAUUAUAAUGA